GGAUAUGGUAAAUAACCUUAUUAAGAAUGUGGUUUAGGAAUUCCCGUCGUGGCGCAGUGGUUAACGAAUCCGACUAGGAACUAUGAGGUUUCGGGUUCGGUCCCUGCCCUUGCUCGGUGGGUUAAGGAUCCGGUGUUGCCGUGAGCUGUGGUGUAGGUUGCAGACUCGGCUCGGACCCUGCGUUGCUGUGCCUCUGGCGUAGGCUGGGGACUACAGCUCCGAUUCGACCCCUAGCCUGGGAACCUCCAUAUGCUGCGGGAGCGGCCCGAAGAAAUAGCAAAAAGACAAAAAAAAAAUAAAAUAAAAGAAUGUGGUUUAAAGAUAAGAGUGUUUGGAGAAGUGGAAUGGAUAUGAUUGGAAGAACAGAAUUUAGAAAUAAUCAGUAUAUUUUUACAACCUCAAAUUCAGACAGAUCAACUGGCAAGGUAAGAAAAUACGGGAUUUUUAUAUUUUCAUAAAAAAAAUAGUCAAGUAAUAUCUUAGAGCCCAUAUACUAAUUGACAGCAAAAUAAUCAUGAAUACUAAGAGGAGCAAUUUGGAGAAAAUUUAUGGGUUUUGGAAGACAUGGAACCUUUCAAAGGAAGCAUUUGCUUCAGGCUGUGAUUUGCUAAUUAAUUUUCAGAAAUGCAACAAGAAACUAAACAGCCACCUAAGUCUCUUUCUACGUUUAUGAGAAAGAAGCUAGUAUGGAAACAAGAAGCUUAUAGAGGAGAAUUUUUUUCAAGAAAUCAAGUUCUAAAACUAUUUUUAGAGCGACUACCUGUGUAGUCCUACUUCUAGAUCACCUACUUUGGAGUCUCAGGAUUUGGGUUUUUACUGAUAUUAUCAAAUGUUUGCUUCCCUGCAGUAUUGGAAAGUAAAACGGAAUUGUUUUUACCAAAUUUUUUAAAAAAGCAAUGAUGAAAAUAUGGAUGAUGAUUUCCUUUUUGCAUUUUUCUGAUUUUUAAAAUUUCUAAAACAAUAUAAAUGUAAAAAUGAUCUAUGAAAUACAUCUGUGGUCUUUGCACAUCAUAUUGUAGGUAGCCAUAAUUUUUCAGGGUCUAUAAGAUUGAAUUAAGAUAGUGUAUUGUUUUUGAGUUUUGUGUUGAUAUUUUUGUUUUUACUUAUAACAGUGAUGCUGGAAGUAGCGGUGAACGUGAUAUUGCUGAAGGCUGUUUCCAGGCCCCCUAUGCCUUAAAAACCUCAAUUAAGUCCAAUUUCAUCAGAGAGUUCUUCUGCUCUAAGCAUACUCUUCACCUGGGAGCGAAAGGGACUUCAGAUCUGGAGCUCUUCUUUCUCCCCUUUGGCAUGCACACACGCUACUGUGUCAUCAUCCUCAGCAACAAAAAGGUGAGGACGGAAUUACGUGUGUGCUUUCAUCAAGGGCUGCCACUGUAAUGGAAUAACCAGUAUAGGUCAUUUGACAGCAGCUAAAGACUCUGGGAAUAUAGCUAACAAUUUCAGCCCUCUAGUUGAUAAACAAAGAGCUUAUCCUCAAGAAUAAGCAAAGAUUUAUACUACCUGUCUGCAAAUUUUAUAAUGGCUGGAUAAGGAAGUCCCAUGGGAGCAGAAUGGAGGCAUUCCUACCCUGCCAGUACCUUAUCUAUAUCGUCAUCUAUGGUCAUAUAACAAGUUACCAAAUACUGCUGCUCUUAAAACAAUAUGUAUUUAUCAUGUCACGUUUUCUAUGGAUCACAGGUCUAGGUGGGCCCUCUGGUUUAGGUCUAGCAAGUCUUCAAUUCACUGAUUGGCCAGUGCUGUGUUCUCCUCGGAGGUUAAGCUGAAGAAGUGGCUGCUUCUAAGCUUUCUCAAGUUGUUGGCGGAAUUAAUUUUCUAGCUCUGGGAUCCAUGCAUCUUACUUCUCUAAAGCCAGCGAAGGUGAAAAACAGAAGAGGAGGGAGGGGAGAGGAGGUGGGGGCAGAGAGAGAGAGACAGAGAGAGAGAGAAAGAAAGAAGAGAGGAUUUAGAGGAAAAGUUUUACGGUAUUCUUCUCUUUGAAAAAGACACUGCCAUGUCUUGACCUGAGGGAACUUAUGACCCAUGGGAGAUUGUCCCAAAUGUGUGUUAUGUAUCAAUUAUGCACUAUAUAGAAUGCAUAACAAUGAAAUAAUGGUGAUUGGGAGUUCUCAUCGUGGCUCAGCGGUAACGAACACAACUAGGAUCCAUGAGGAUGUGGGAUCGAUCUCUGGUCUCGGUCAGUGGGAUAAGGAUCUGGCAUUGCCGUGAGCUGUGGUGUAGGUUGCAGGCGUGACUCAGAUCUGGUGUUGCUGUGGCCGUGGUGUAGGCUGGCAGCUGCAGUUCCAAUUAGACCCCUAGCCUGGGAACCUCCACAUGCUGCAAGUGCGGUCCUAAAAAAAAAAAAAAAAAAAAAAGGAAUUGGAAAGAGGUAUUAUAUUGACUUAUCUGUAGGAUCCUUUACACAUGAAAAAUAGUAUAGCCUAUUAAAUAUGUAAGGAAUAGUUUUACACUAAGAAUUACCAUUUCAGGUGAAAAAUGCUACUUUAUCGUAAUAUCGAAACUUGUUUUUCAUUUCUCUUGAAAGAGUUUAGGUUUUAGCUGAAUUCCUCUAUAUGAAAAUUUGUAAAAAAAAAAAAA
This 2574-nucleotide long non-coding RNA is filed under the name Sus scrofa (pig). RNAcentral describes it as "lncRNA (ENSSSCG00005038424.1)". Lineage: Eukaryota; Metazoa; Chordata; Mammalia; Artiodactyla; Suidae. The record is from RNAcentral.